This 755-nucleotide ribosomal RNA is filed under the name Phanuromyia bidentata. RNAcentral's name for it is "eukaryotic LSU rRNA". It matches the Rfam family "Eukaryotic large subunit ribosomal RNA", at positions 420 to 920 of the family's 3401-position model. The record is from RNAcentral. Lineage: Eukaryota; Metazoa; Arthropoda; Insecta; Hymenoptera; Scelionidae.
CCUGAGAAACCCGAAAGAUCGAAUGAGGAGAUUCAUCGUCAGCUAGGUCGACUUCCAUGCGUUAUGCGAUGGACGGGUCUUCGGAUUCGAUUCACGCUUUCGCUGUGGUAUGCGUUCGGCCAGGUCGGCGUGCACUUCUCCUCUAGUAGAACGUCGCGACCCGCUGGGUGUCGGUUUAAGGGCCGAGAUCGUUGACUGUACCGUCGCUUCGGCGUUACGUGUGCAGACGCUUGGUUCCCUGAUCGACUGCUCGGCGGUAACACUAAAGGUAUCGAGCCGCACUCGAAUGCGUUCAGACUCGUUGCAAGUUCGAUCAUUUCCCGGAUGUACGGACUUAAUGCCGUCCCUGGGCAUGAUUGGCUGUUGGUUAACGAUGUUCUCGAACCGGCUUACACUUGCUGUAUCAGCGAUACCGGUCAGCGACGCUAUUGCUUUGGGUACUUUCAGGACCCGUCUUGAAACACGGACCAAGGAGUCUAACAUGUGCGCGAGUCAUUGGGANUAUUGAAACCUAAAGGCGCAUUGAAAGAGAAGAUCGGCCUCGCGUCGAUUGAGGGAGGAUGAGCUAACGUUACGAUGUUGCUCCGCACUCCCGGGGCGUCUCGUGGUCAUUGCGACCUGAGGCGCACCCAGAGCGUACACGUUGGGACCCGAAAGAUGGUGAACUAUGCCUGGUCAGGAUGAAGUCAGGGGAAACCCUGAUGGAGGUCCGUAUCGAUUCUGACGUGCAAAUCGAUCGUCGGAACUGGGUAUAG